GACGAACGCUGGCGGCGUGCUUAACACAUGCAAGUCGAACGAUGAAGCUGGAGCUUGCUCCGGUGGAUUAGUGGCGAACGGGUGAGUAACACGUGAGCAAUCUGCCCUUGACUCUGGGAUAACUGCGGGAAACUGUAGCUAAUACCGGAUACGAGGCUCGAAGGCAUCUUCGGGUCUGGAAAGAAUUUCGGUCAAGGAUGAGCUCGCGGCCUAUCAGCUUGUUGGUGAGGUAAUGGCUCACCAAGGCGACGACGGGUAGCCGGCCUGAGAGGGUGACCGGCCACACUGGGACUGAGACACGGCCCAGACUCCUACGGGAGGCAGCAGUGGGGAAUAUUGCACCAUGGGCGAAAGCCUGAUGCAGCAACGCCGCGUGAGGGAUGAAGGCCUUCGGGUUGUAAACCUCUUUUAGCAGGGAAGAAGCGAAAGUGACGGUAUCUGCAGAAAAAGCACCGGCUAACUACGUGCCAGCCGCCGCAGUAA
This 483-nucleotide ribosomal RNA is filed under the name uncultured bacterium. RNAcentral describes it as "partial 16S ribosomal RNA". It matches the Rfam family "Bacterial small subunit ribosomal RNA", at positions 28 to 523 of the family's 1533-position model. The record is from RNAcentral.